UGAUGAGGCUGUGUGCUUCUGAGCUGGGCAUCCGAAGGCAUCCUUGGGGAAGCUGAGGGCACGAGGAGGGGCUGCCAGACUCCGGGAGCUGCUGCCUGGCUGGGAUUCCUACACAAUGCGUUGCCUGGCUCCACGCCCUGCUGGGUCCUACCUGUCAGAGCCCCAAGGCAGCUCACAGUGUGCCACCAUGGAGUUGGGGCCCCUAGAAGGUGGCUACCUGGAGCUUCUUAACAGCGAUGCUGACCCCGUGUGCCUCUACCACUUCUAUGACCAGAUGGACCUCGCUGGAGAAGAAGAGAUUGAGCUCUACUCAGAACCCGACACAGACACCAUCAACUGUGACCAGUUCAGCAGGCUGUUGUGUGACAUGGAAGGUGAUGAAGAGACCAGGGAGGCUUAUGCCAAUAUCGCGGAACUGGACCAGUAUGUCUUCCAGGACUCCCAGCUGGAGGGCCUGAGCAAAGACAUUUUCAUAGAGCACAUAGGACCAGAUGAAGUGAUCGGUGAGAGUAUGGAGAUGCCAGCAGAAGUUGGGCAGAAAAGUCAGAAAAGACCCUUCCCAGAGGAGCUUCCGGCAGACCUGAAGCACUGGAAGCCAGUGCCUUCCUCCAGUUCCUCGUUGAGCUGCCUGAAUCUCCCUGAGGGACCCAUCCAGUUUGUCCCCACCAUCUCCACUCUGCCCCAUGGGCUCUGGCAAAUCUCUGAGGCUGGAACAGGGGUCUCCAGUAUAUUCAUCUACCAUGGUGAGGUACCCCAGGCCAGCCAAGUACCCCCUCCCAGUGGAUUCACUGUCCAUGGCCUCCCAACAUCUCCAGACCGGCCAGGCUCCACCAGCCCCUUCGCUCCAUCAGCCACUGACCUGCCCAGCAUGCCUGAACCUGCCCUGACUUCCCGAGCAAACAUGACAGAGCACAAGACGUCCCCCACCCAAUGCCAGGCAGCUGGAGAGGUCUCCAACAAGCUUCCAAAAUGGCCUGAGCCGGUGGAGCAGUUCUACCGCUCACUGCAGGACACGUAUUGUGCCGAGCCCGCAGGCCCCGAUGGCAUCCUAGUGGAGGUGGAUCUGGUGCAGGCCAGGCUGGAGAGGAGCAGCAGCAAGAGCCUGGAGCGGGAACUGGCCACCCCGGACUGGGCAGAACGGCAGCUGGCCCAAGGAGGCCUGGCUGAGGUGCUGUUGGCUGCCAAGGAGCACCGGCGGCCGCGUGAGACACGAGUGAUUGCUGUGCUGGGCAAACCUGGUCAGGGCAAGAGCUAUUGGGCUGGGGCAGUGAGCCGGGCCUGGGCUUGUGGCCGGCUUCCCCAGUACGACUUUGUCUUCUCUGUCCCCUGCCAUUGCUUGAACCGUCCGGGGGAUGCCUAUGGCCUGCAGGAUCUGCUCUUCUCCCUGGGCCCACAGCCACUCGUGGCGGCCGAUGAGGUUUUCAGCCACAUCUUGAAGAGACCUGACCGCGUUCUGCUCAUCCUAGACGCCUUCGAGGAGCUGGAAGCGCAAGAUGGCUUCCUGCACAGCACGUGCGGACCGGCACCGGCGGAGCCCUGCUCCCUCCGGGGGCUGCUGGCCGGCCUUUUCCAGAAGAAGCUGCUCCGAGGUUGCACCCUCCUCCUCACAGCCCGGCCCCGGGGCCGCCUGGUCCAGAGCCUGAGCAAGGCCGACGCCCUAUUUGAGCUGUCCGGCUUCUCCAUGGAGCAGGCCCAGGCCUACGUGAUGCGCUACUUUGAGAGCUCAGGGAUGACAGAGCACCAAGACAGAGCCCUGACGCUCCUCCGGGACCGGCCACUUCUUCUCAGUCACAGCCACAGCCCUACUUUGUGCCGGGCAGUGUGCCAGCUCUCAGAGGCCCUGCUGGAGCUUGGGGAGGACGCCAAGCUUCCCUCCACGCUCACGGGACUCUAUGUCGGCCUGCUGGGCCGUGCAGCCCUCAACAGCCCCCCCGGGGCCCUGGCAGAGCUGGCCAAGCUGGCCUGGGAGCUGGGCCGCAGACAUCAAAGUACCCUACAGCAGGACCAGUUCCCAUCCGCAGACGUGAGGACCUGGGCGAUGGCCAAAGGCUUAGUCCAACACCCACCGGGGGCCGCAGAGUCCGAGCUGGCCUUCCCCAGCUUCCUCCUGCAAUGCUUCCUGGGGGCCCUGUGGCUGGCUCUGAGUGGCGAAAUCAAGGACAAGGAGCUCCCGCAGUACCUAGCAUUGACCCCAAGGAAGAAGAGGCCCUAUGACAACUGGCUGGAGGGCGUGCCACGCUUUCUGGCUGGGCUGAUCUUCCAGCCUCGCGCCCGCUGCCUGGGAGCCCUAGUCGGGCCAUCGGCGGCUGCCUUGGCGGACAGGAAGCAGAAGGUGCUUGCGAGGUACCUGAAGCGGCUGCAGCCGGGGACACUGCGGGCGCGGCAGCUGCUGGAACUGCUGCACUGCGCCCACGAGGCCGAGGAGGCUGGAAUUUGGCAGCACGUGGUACAGGAGCUCCCCGGCCGCCUCUCUUUUCUGGGCACCCGUCUCACGCCUCCUGAUGCACAUGUACUGGGCAAGGCCUUGGAGGCGGCGGGCCAAGACUUCUCCCUGGACCUCCGCAGCACUGGCAUUUGCCCCUCUGGAUUGGGGAGCCUCGUGGGACUCAGCUGUGUCACCCGUUUCAGGUGGGGCGAGGGCCUUGGGGAAGAGGCAUCCUUGUGUUGGGCAUUAACUGCGGUCUUGGUGCCAAGCCCAGUGCUCUGUGGGGUCUCUUUUAGUAUGCAGAGCAGCCGGGUGGGGCAGAAUGGAUUCUCUCCAUUUUUAAGAUGAGGAUGUUGAGGCUCAGAGAGGGGCAGCCACUUGCCACAUAGCAAGUGAGAGGCAAUGGCAUUCUCCCAAUCAAUAUUUGAAGGCCCGCCAUGUGCCAGUCACUGGGGUAUGUCUAGAAUCUGAGACUGACCUGGGCUCAAAUUUGUUUUAUUCUUUCCACCCCCUGAGCAAGCCACCGUUUUCUUAUGCUAAGAGUAAAGCCAUGGUCUCCCCUUGGACUCUAUGCCUCCAUUCUCUCCUCUUCCACUCCAUUUUGUAUUCAGCAACCAGACCAAUCUUCUCAGAACUUGAAUCUGAUUGUAUCCCAUUCCUGCUUACAGUCCUUCAGGGACACUCCACCACCGUCAGGAUGAAGGCUAAAUUCCUUAAUUUGGUUUCAUUAAGUCGGUCUGCAAUCUGCUUGAGCAUUUCAGCUUAAUCUCCAGAGGAUUGCUUCCAUAUUUCCCCCUAAACAUACUUUACCCAAGCUGUAAGGUCCUACAUAAUUGUGCCAAUAAUUUAGCAGUGAGCUUCCUGGUAGCCGAAGCAAAAAGGGAAAGAAAACCACUGUGUGAGUUGUGAGAAAGUAGGAAUCAAUAAAGGCUGGAGUGGUC
Molecule: small RNA, 3366 nt
Filed under: Pan troglodytes (chimpanzee)
Lineage: Eukaryota; Metazoa; Chordata; Mammalia; Primates; Hominidae
Description: retained intron
Source: RNAcentral